GGUGGCAGGUUGUAGCCCUGUGCAGGCGGGUAUUAGUCCCGCUCUUACCAAGUA
This 54-nucleotide transfer RNA is filed under the name Trachylepis albilabris (Guinea mabuya). Its description in RNAcentral is "partial tRNA-Tyr". The record is from RNAcentral. Lineage: Eukaryota; Metazoa; Chordata; Lepidosauria; Squamata; Scincidae.